Molecule: ribosomal RNA, 484 nt
Filed under: uncultured bacterium
Lineage: Bacteria
Description: partial 16S ribosomal RNA
Rfam family: Bacterial small subunit ribosomal RNA
Source: RNAcentral
AUUGAACGCUGGCGGCAGGCCUAACACAUGCAAGUCGAGCGGAUGAAGGGAGCUUGCUCCUGGAUUCAGCGGCGGACGGGUGAGUAAUGCCUAGGAAUCUGCCUGGUAGUGGGGGCUAACGUCCGGAAACGGGCGCUAAUACCGCAUACGUCCUGAGGGAGAAAGUGGGGGAUCUUCGGACCUCACGCUAUCAGAUGAGCCUAGGUCGGAUUAGCUAGUUGGUGGGGUAAAGGCCUACCAAGGCGACGAUCCGUAACUGGUCUGAGAGGAUGAUCAGUCACACUGGAACUGAGACACGGUCCAGACUCCUACGGGAGGCAGCAGUGGGGAAUAUUGGACAAUGGGCGAAAGCCUGAUCCAGCCAUGCCGCGUGUGUGAAGAAGGUCUUCGGAUUGUAAAGCACUUUAGGUUGGGAGGAAGGGCAGUAAGUUAAUACCUUGCUGUUUUGACGUUACCAACAGAAUAAGCACCGGCUAACUUCGUG